RNA transcript from Panicum virgatum (switchgrass), 2679 nucleotides. RefSeq lists it as uncharacterized. The transcript is spliced from 2 exons. The record is from RefSeq and is a predicted model, not a curated record. Lineage: Eukaryota; Viridiplantae; Streptophyta; Magnoliopsida; Poales; Poaceae.
AGCUCAGUUACACAUGCCUCAGCUCGAGCUCUUUCAUCUCCUCUCCCUUCCUUGAGUUUCUUUGCUUAAUUGAGCUCUUUCUAGUUGAUUAAGUAGAGGACUCAAGUGCUAGCUCGCCCUAAAAUAAAAUUUGAGUAGUAAUUAGUGAAGUUCACAACAACAAAAAACAUUUCCGUUCCGAAUAAAUUCAUGGCACGCUGAACAUCGAACGUUUGUGGUGGUUUAAUACCCUGCAAGAAUGACUAACGACUAGCAAAUAACGCUAACCCUCUUCUUAACCCCUUGUUUCCUUCGGGUAUUGCUUGUACUAAUCUUUUGCAGGCACCAUGCUGAAUCGAGCUAAGGAGAAAGUCAAGAAGGCACUCUCGAGAAAGUCGAGAAGCUCGUGGAGUUCCUCUUCUUCUCGGGAUAACAUGUCGGUCGACUCCGGUCACCGCUCACACGCAUCACGGGAAGAAGAAGAAGAAAUUCCUGCAGUCCCACGAAACCAUUUCGGCAUCAGGAUCCUGACGAUGGUUGAACAAAUCGUCUUCAAGAACGACUACGAGCGGCAAGCACUCGAGCUGCUGAAGAGGCAAACCUAUGCCCAUGACAAGAGGUUCGAAACCCGCUUCCUCAUCAUGACGGGACUCUUGCAAGACAUGAACCAAGCUUUCACCGCCGUCGGAUGGGAGAACUUCGCCGACAUCGUUGAGCCAGGUUCGCAUCUUUUGACCACGGAAUUUCUUAUGUCUCUUACCGUUGAAGAAACCAGCAUUGAAACUAAAGUUUACUUUCAGUUCUUUAACGAACAAUUCGAAAUGAAUCUCCAACAAUUUAGUGUUGCUUUGGGCUUUAAUAAAAUAUGCAUCUUAGACCCCAACACACUUGUUGAGCAUUAUCAAUAUGACCGUAGCUCUUGGUUGAGUGAAAUUUCUAAUGAAACCGUGAGUAGUAAGAACAGCAUAGUCUCAAUUCAUAAUCCUACUCUUAGGUUUCUCGCCAAGUGGCUCGCCUUGGUUGUGCACUCUCGCACAGACCUUCGCUUCUGCAGCUUGCCCGAGCUGCAGUGUCUGUACGCUAUGGUGAACAAGAUUCGUUUUUCGGCCGUCCGGAGCAUGCUUGCUCAUUGGCAGAAGAUGAUUACAGGUAAAAGCCCCAUCGACAUAACCCCACUGGUCACCCCUGUGGCAAGGUAUGUCAAAGCGAUGGAUGGCGCCGAAGUCACCUUCUUGCCCGAGACGGAGGCAUACAGAUACGAGGUCGGUCUUGAGCAUUUUGUGCAAGGGCACAUGAUGUGAGAAGGGCCAGGAAAUUCUCUCUUUAUGUGUUACCCUGGGUACGAUAGGGAGAUCGAGCUUCCAUGCCCGAGACUCUCUCUCUACUCAGCGAAAAGUCUAACAUUGCAGAUGGAGAAAAGAGAACCCGCAUGGCGAAGUGUUGCAGGUCCAUAGACGAGGAGCAGGACCCGGCAUGAGCAGGCCAGAGCAGGUCCAUCACGACGGAUACCCCCAGUUCAUGCUUCGGCACAACCAGGGCCAUCCACGCAGAAUAUGAGCUUCGAGGAGGCGUACGGGCAUUACAACUAUGACCUAUAUCAGGACGUCAGCAGCGGAUUCGCCGGUGGGCAAGGACCGAACUACCCCGCAGGUAUGCAUCCAUCUUAUGGUCCACAUGUGGGUCCCUCAUCGUCAGCACGCUUCAACUAUGAAGACCCGAUUCUCCGGAGCAUCACGGACCUUUCGAACCGCAUCAGCACCCUUGUACGACGUCUCGAACAUCUUCAUCCACCUUGGGUUGGACUAUUAGCAGUCCCAGCCAUACCAGCCAUACUAGCCACCCUAACAGGAGAACAAUGACGACGAGGAGGAGAACAACGACAACAACGAGGAGAGCAGGAAUCCGAUGAGGAGGACUGAGCUUCAUCGAAGCUUGGGGGUCACACUGUCUGGUAAGUCAUCGCACCCGUUCUUUCUAUUCAGUAGCCAUGCCAAAAAAAAUAUAAUAAUAAUAGUAGUAAUAAAUAAAUAAAUAAUCUCAUAACAAAAAUCCCAAAAAAAUAUUUCCAUGCUUCGAAUAAAAUGUAUAUGGGUGGAAAUCCGUGUAAGCUCUUACUUUGGAAAUGAUGAAUAGUUGCUCUGUUUAAACCCUGUAUGUGCCUCGUUUACAGCUUUUUACUCUCCUAGUACCUGAACUAGUUGGCACAUAUUAGUUCCACUGAAAAAUCUGGUUGCGUGGAGGCAUGAGUUUAAUUUCUAAAGUCUAAGUUGUUGCGGGAUUUGAGAUGUCCCAAACCGGAAUUUAAACUGCUUGCUCUAGUAGGGAACCCCUCAGAAUUCUUUUAAAAAUUAAAAUUCUGGUAAAGGUUUCCUAUGGUUAAAAUGACCCAUCCGGAGCCUUAUAUUGCAUAAAUUGUUCGAGCUAUCUGAAGUUACUUUGAGCUUUGUCAAAUGGUGCAUCCACUUCGAGAAUGGUACUUGCCAACUACAGGUCUUAAUCCCACAUAAAUCCUCCAUUUGCUAGCCCAAACAUACCUGGCCUGUCAGUUACCCAUUCCGUGUAUUGACACCCACUUCUGCCAGCUAUGCUCCCCCGCAAUCUCCAUCGCGGUUCAUCCCACAAGAGCUUCCCAUUCAAAACUCCAAAGAAUUCAAGUUAUAUCAGCAAGGGAGAGUGGAGUUAUCUUCUUUUUAAAAAAAA